Molecule: ribosomal RNA, 324 nt
Filed under: uncultured eukaryote
Lineage: Eukaryota
Description: partial 18S ribosomal RNA
Rfam family: Eukaryotic small subunit ribosomal RNA
Source: RNAcentral
CCCUUAGAUGUUCUGGGCCGCACGCGCGCUACACUGAUGCAUUCAACGAGUUUCUUCCUGGUCCGAGAGGAAUGGGUAACCUUUUGAAAGUGCAUCGUGAUAGGGAUAGACUAUUGCAAUUAUUGGUCUUCAACGAGGAAUUCCUAGUAGACGUAGUUCAUCCGACUGCAUCGAUUACGUCCCUGCCCUUUGUACACACCGCCCGUCGCUCCUACCGAUUGAAUGCUCAGGUGAGCCAUUCGGACUUUCAUCAUGCUGGUUUCCAGUUUUGAUGAAGGAAAGUCUUGCGAACCUUAUCAUUUAGAGGAAGGAGAAGUCGUAACA